UACGUAGGGUCCGAGCGUUGUCCGGAUUUAUUGGGCGUAAAGAGCUCGUAGGCGGUUUCGUAAGUCGGAUGUGAAAACUCAGGGCUCAACCCGGAGACGCCAUCUGAUACUGCGAUGACUUGAGUCUGGUAGGGGAUCACGGAAUACCUGGUGUAGCGGUGAAAUGCGCAGAUAUCAGGUGGAACACCGAUGGCGAGGGCAGUGAUCUGGGCCAGUACUGACGCUGAGGAGCGAAAGCGUGGGGAGCAAACAGG
This 254-nucleotide ribosomal RNA is filed under the name uncultured bacterium. RNAcentral describes it as "partial 16S ribosomal RNA". It matches the Rfam family "Bacterial small subunit ribosomal RNA", at positions 524 to 776 of the family's 1533-position model. The record is from RNAcentral.